Molecule: long non-coding RNA, 2649 nt
Filed under: Linum usitatissimum (flax)
Lineage: Eukaryota; Viridiplantae; Streptophyta; Magnoliopsida; Malpighiales; Linaceae
Description: long non-coding RNA (LUSI_LNC004032)
Source: RNAcentral
AGAUCAUGUAUGUAGCGCACUUUUGGUCAAAAUUGCGAAUUUGCUAUUGCCCCCAAUCGCAAAUCUAAUCCAGGUAUCUACGUUCUAGUUAUUGUUUUUCUUUCUUUCUUUACGGAUCUUAAAUCCAUUUUAUUAUGUGUGGAACUUAGAAACUUUUCAUAGUUCCUAUUUACUUUUAUUUUUGGUUUUGUGUGUUUGAGCCUUUUUCAGGAGUUAGUGUCGCCACCGAGCUCGUACUUCAUGGAUCAUGCCUCUUGCUCUUCCAGUUUCUCACAGCUUCCACGUAUUCCUAUGCAACUUUUACGUUUCCUUCAGUGAGGACACUAUCCAAACUAAGUGUGGGGUGAGAUUGCAUAGGAUUCUUGUUAGCUAGUCUUAAUGGGUGUUUAUUUGCAUGUUGAGUCCUAAACUAAAGCUUGUUGGAACCAUCUUUGAAUUAGUUACUUGGCAUGCUUAGAAAACUUCCCUAUGAUUUGUGCAAUUGAAUUGUUGAUUUACUUGUGAACCUAGAUUUUAUAGGAGUUUAGCCCUAUGAUCAAAGUCUAUUGAUUCAUUCUUUAGAGUUACUUUGAUGUGUUUAAAGUAGCACAGACUGUCCAACUUGAUGUGACCGGAUAUGUAUGUUACCAAAUUUCCAUCUAGCAAGAUAAUAUGAGGACUAAAAGACCAUUUUAUAGUUUAGAUAAUCUGCUUAACUAGUAGAUUUGUUCUUAAAUUUAAUUGAGUGGUCUUCUCUGUUGACUGUGAAUCCGACACAUGCAUGAUACCGAACUGAAUUCACCCGACACUGAUUGAGUAGAAUGAUAGAGGUACUUAGAAAAUCACCACCCAAAAAUAUCCAUAUUGUCCUUACAUUUUCCGCUAGGUAACCCAACAAAGCCAAAAAGCCUUUUCCAAAACCCUCAUAAUUUCGUAGCCCCUUUCUUUCAAGCCUUCAUGUCAUUAUGUGUACAUUAGUGGCAUGUACCUCGUCGAGUCUAGGAGUCAAUAAAGUUGCUAAAUUGAGUAAUUGCAUGAUUAUAUAGUCUCCCUUAAUCUUUUUUAUGUAUAAUUUUAAUUUCGAAUAAGAAGAGAAAAAAAUUGAAAAUCUCAAAAAAGGAGGAGACAAGUUAAAAAAUACAGUCUCGAAGAUCAAGCAAAAGAAAAUGAAAAAGAAGUUAUAGUAGAUUAGUUGAAUAAACUAGCAGUCAAGCUCGAAAUAGUAGUUAAAUAGUUUGAGCUCUUGUAGAAAGUUGGAACCUUGCAUAGUUUAUACUAUUUUAGUAGUUUAGCUCCAAAUUAGAGUAGACCGAGUCGUCUGCCGCUGUGUACACUUACCACCAAAUUCAUUUCACCUUAUCUUCCUUUUUAUGUCCACAUUAUAACCGUAAUAAAAGACCUCUUGAUUAGUGUUAGAUGUUCCUUGAUGUGAUGAUUAAAAGUAGGUUGAUCUGUAAGCGUUGGAAGAACAUCUCCGAGUUGAUGAUGAGCUCAUAAACACUUGAGUGAGUGCUUUCAGCUUCACUUUAAGUGGAAUCCCUUGAGAGUAAGUCUAGAUGGAUGGUAUAACAUGUUAUAAUUAUGUGUGCCAAGUUGGAGAACUUCUUGUGAGGCCUUUACUUCCUAUUUCGGUUUUUUAGAGGUUCACUUGUAUGUUAAGCAAUUCAGGGAUGCAUUGAGGAAUAUGAGUUUGCUUUGCAUGUUAGUAGUUUGAUUCUCUUGUAGAUAUGUUCCAUGGCUUUUAUCGGUUUUUUGCCUCAGGACAAGUAAAGUAUGGGGUUAUUUGAUGACGCUAGAUUUGUCACAUUUAUCGCCCUCAUUUCAGUGCUAUUUCAUGCAUAAUUCUAUUGCUUUAGGUAGAAGUUUAGGAUGUCUUAUGCAUUCUAAGCUUUUAUCUCAAUUUGAUGUUUCAGACCCGGUCGGGGUCCAUUUGAUGUCGUUUUGGAUUGUUUUUUAUAGAUUUCACGUACAUGACAACAUCGAGACAUUAAUAAGAGUGAUAUGGUGUGCAUUGAUGGUCUAGGACAAGAAUUGAGAAGCAAUUCGACAUUGCGUGAUAAAUCAUGAAGUGCAAGGAUCUCUGCUUGGUUGGAAAACAUCGCAGUUUUGUAAUUUGAACAUAUCUCCUUGCUCAGAAGCUUGAUUGAUGCAAGGUCGACGAUAUUGAAAAGCUAGUUCAAUUUCCUACAACUGGUGAAAAAUUAAAUUUUGUGACUUUUACCAAAAUGCGUUGUGAAUAUGACCAAAAGUGUGGCACACUUUUGGUCCAUGUUAAGCGCACUUUUGGUCAUCCGUUAGGCAUAAGGGAUCCUUCCCUAUAAAAUCCCAGUUAUCUCUCAUAAUUUAGAGACCCUUUUGGACGAAAAUAUGAGAAUAUUUCAGAAACUCCAGGGCAAAGAGAAAGCAUCGACUUCAAGGAGCUCAGAUCGGAAGACAUAAUCAAGAUUGGCAUAUCGAUUUCUUUGACAGUUCUCGGCAAAAUUAGGUUUUCUCGGAUUUAUUCUUGUAAAUCUAAUUCCAAUAUGUUCCUUUGUUGAUUUUGAUUUGUUCUUCAUUAUUAUGAGUAGCGAAACUCCUCAUACUUAGAUUAGAUGAACCCUAGGUAACUCCUUAUGAAUGGAUGAUUGUCUGACUUUGACGAAUUAUGAGAGUUGGAUGGACUUUGGUUUA